UACAGAGGGUGCGAGCGUUGUCCGGAAUCACUGGGCGUAAAGGGCGCGUAGGCGGCCCCGUGCGCGCGCCGUGAAAGCCCGGGGCUCAACCCCGGGUCGGCGGGGCGGACGGCGGGGCUGGAGCAUACCAGAGGCGGGCGGAAUUCCGGGUGUAGCGGUGGAAUGCGUAGAGAUCCGGAAGAACACCGGGGGCGAAGGCGGCCCGCUGGGGUAGUGGCUGACGCUGAGGCGCGACAGCGUGGGGAGCAAACAGG
RNAcentral lists this ribosomal RNA (254 nucleotides) under uncultured bacterium. RNAcentral describes it as "partial 16S ribosomal RNA". It matches the Rfam family "Bacterial small subunit ribosomal RNA", at positions 524 to 776 of the family's 1533-position model. The record is from RNAcentral.